Non-coding RNA from Prunus avium (sweet cherry), 441 nucleotides. The record is from RefSeq and is a predicted model, not a curated record. Lineage: Eukaryota; Viridiplantae; Streptophyta; Magnoliopsida; Rosales; Rosaceae.
UUUCUGAGCAUCUCCAAUUGUUUGCCCUGGAGUAAAGGUAUGAAAGUAAGACGGGAGAAGAUUGGGCCAAGAUAUCUCACAUUCCUUGCCUCCGGAUAAAUGAUGAAGUCAUCAUAUGAUAUGAGCUCUCUCUCACACCGCGUUUUUGCUAUUUGGCAUUUCACUCUCAGGUCUGAGUCAGGUCUAACGUGAAGGAAGCUCCAACAAUCUCUUGUCUGUGGAGGAAUUCAGAUUCUAUCUCAGCAAAUUUUUGUGUGGAUUCUAUCAACUGAUUAAACAUCUUUGUUGACUUGGAAGCCAACCUAAAUUGGAGCUUGAACCUUCUUUGUAAUAUUCUUUGUACUUCAAGUUGUUUGGCAUGGGCAGUUUCUGUGUUUUCCUGGACUUUGUACUGGCCAUAAUUUAACAGGAACCAUGUAAAUGCAUAUCCAUUUGUGAUUC